CACGCCUGUGUCCCAGAGGCUGUGGUAGGAGGGUUGCUUAAGCCUGGGAAGUCAAGGCUGCAGUGAGCUAUGACUGUCCCACUGCAUUCCAGCCUGGGCAACAGGGUGAGACCCUGUCUUAAAACAAAUAAAUAAAAAACAAAAUAAAAUAAAACUCUGCUCUGCCACUUCCUAGCUGAGUUACUUUGGGAAAGUUAUUGAAUCUCUCCGUGCCUCCAUUUUCUCACAAUUAUAAAACGGGGAUAAUACCUGUUACACAGGAUUGUGAUAAAGAUUAAAUUCAUCUAGAAUGCCUGGGUAAAUACUUAGCAUAAAAUAGAUUUCCAAAAAUGUAAGGCCAAUUUCUACCGAGGCCUAUUCCUUACAAAGAAAACUGAAGACACAUAGGAAUUCUCAUUCCUUGUAGUGAUCUAAAUUACCAAACCAUGCAACAUCUUAAUAUAAAAGAAAUCUCAAGGAAGGAAAUGAAGUUACUGCCUCAUGGUUUUACUGACAAGCAGUUUUUAAAUUGCAGGUUCACAGAGGGAUUUGGGGGACCCAUUAAUCCCCUGAAAUUAUACCUGAUUUUGAGGCAGCGUGCUACUUCUGUAAAUGUCUUCACUGAAUUUCCACUAGCUCCAAACCUAUUUCUCUAUUCUCCUUUACAGCAAAUAUCCUCAAAAAGGUGCUAUACUCACUCUCUCAAAUUCUCCUUUCAUUCUCUCUUAAACCCACUCCAAUAAGAAUGAUGAAACAAACCCUGCCCUGAAACUAAUCUUGCCAAGAUCAUCUGUCCACAUUGCUAAAUCCAAUGAUCAGUUCUCAGUCCUAAGCUGAUUUUUAGCAGAUUUUUGACACACUUCAUCUACCCCUCCUGCUUGAAUACGUUUUUCUCAUCUGGCUUCCAGGAUGCCAUAUAAUAUAGUCUAUGAUUUCUUGGUUUUCCUCCUUUUUUGCUGAUCUCUUAUCAGCUUUUGUUGCUGACUGUUGUCUCAGACUUUUUAACGUCCCUGGACUUCGUCCUUGAACUUUUUCUCUUCUCUUCCCUAUACUCCACUGGUAAUCUCUUCUGGUUUCCCAGCUUUACUUACACUUGCCACACACUCACAACUAGGUAUCUCCAACCCAGGUUUCUCACAUGAAUUCCAGACUCUUACACCAUCUUAAAACUGUCUACUUGGCAUCUCCACUUGAGUAUCUAAUACUACUUUAACCUUGGUGUGUCCAAAGUAAGCUCAAGAGGCCAGGCGCGGUGGCUCACACCUGUAAUCCCAGCACUUUGGGAGGCCGAGGUGGGCAGAUCACUUGAGGUCAGGAAUUCGAGACCAGCCUGGCCAAAAUGGUGAAAUCCUGUCUCUACUAAAAACACAAAAAUUAGCUGGAUGUGGUAGCAGGCACCUGUAGUCUCAGCUACUCAGGAGGCCGAGGCAGGAGAAUCACUUGAACCCGGGAGGUGGAGGGUGAAGUGAGCCAAGACUGCGCCACUACACUCCAGCCUGGGAGACACAGUGAGACUCCAUCUUAAAAAACAAACAAAUAAUCUGCUCUAAACACAGCCUUCCCAUGUCAGCUCCUGACAACCCCAUCCUUUGAGCUGCACAGUCCCAAACCUUGGAAUCAUCCUUGACUCCUUUCUUUCAACCCCUACCCUACAGUGAAAUUCAUCAGAGACCAGGCAUGGUGGUUCAUGCCUAUAAUUCCAACACUUGGGGAGGGCGAGACAAGAGGAUCAUGUGAGCCCAGGAGUUCAAGACCAGCCUGGGCAACAUAGUGAGACCCCAUUUCUACAGAAAGUUUUUAAAAUUAGCUGAGCAUGGUGGCACAUGCCUAUAUUCCCAUCUACUUGGGAGGCUGAGGUAGAAGGAUCACCUGAGCCAGGGAGGUCAAGGCUGCAGUGAGCCGUGUUCACACCACUGCACUGCAGCCUGGGCAACAGAGUGAGAUUCUGACUAAAAAAAUUUAAAAACUCAUCAGAAAAUACUGUCGCUCUAUCUUCAAAAUACAUCCAGAAGUCAUAUACUUUUCACAAGUCUACUAGCAAAUGGAUGAAGCACCACCAUUUCUCACAUGAAUUAUUAUCAUGAUAGCCUCCCACCUAUCUCAUUAUUUCUAGCCUGUUGUCCCAGUCUGCUGUCCACAAAGGAGUCUUCUGUCCUUUUAAAAUGCAAAUAAUGCACUAUGGGAGGCCGAAGUGGGAGGACUGUUUGAACUCAGGAGUUUGAGACCAGCAUGGGCAACCUAAGGAGAGCUGUCUCUACUAAACAGAAAUUAAAUUUUUUAAAAAAAGAAGAGAAAAUGCAAAUCACAUCAUGUCACUUCUUUGCUCAAAACCAUCCAGUGCCUUCCCCAUUUCAAUUUAAGCCAAAGUCCUGAAAAGGCCCCAAGAAGCACCUUUACAUUCCCCCAGCCCCUUACCGGUGAACAUCUACCUCAGAAGUCACAACAGACAUCGUAGACUGAAUGGGUGGUCCCCAGAAAGAUAUGUCCAAGUCCUAAUCCCCAGUUCCUGGGGACUGCCACCAAAGAUUGCCAGCAGCCACCAGAAGCAAGGAGGAAGUAUGGAAUGGGCUGUCCCUAAGAGCCCCCAGAAGGAACUAACCCUGCCAACCGACACCUUGAUUUCAGACUUCUGGCCUCCACAACUGUGGCACAAUAAAUGUCUGUUGUGUUAAGCCACCAAGCAUGUGCUUGUAAUGGCAGCCCCAGGAAACUGACACACCACUCUACCCCCUGCUCAUUCUGCUCCCACCACGCUGUCUUCCUUGUGCCCACUUCAGGACCUUUCCACUGACUAUUCUCCUCUGUCUGGGAAGCUCACGCUGCAGAACUUCACAUGGCAAACUCCCACACAUUUUAGCCUUUUGCUCAAACAUCAUCCUCUCCAUGAGGCCUAUCCUGACUCCCCUAUUUAAAUUGCAACCACCACCAUCUUUCCACUUCUUUCAAACUCCCUUACAGUAUCUAUUUUUUUCCACAGCAUUUAUCAUACUCUAAUAUACUACAUAACAUUCUUGUUUAUUACCCAUUGGAUUCCAUAGAAUAUAAGCUCCACAGAGGCAGGGUUUUUAGGUUUGCUUGGGGUUUUUUUUCUCUUUUGUUCACUGGUGUAUUCUAAACAUCUAUAAACUAUGCCUGGCAGAUAGUAGCUGUUCAAUAAACACACGCUGAAUAAAUCUGUUGAACGAACGUGUAUAUGUAUAUGUCUUUUUCUGGAAACAGAAUUCACAGUUUUUAUCAGAUUAAUGAAGUGAUCUGCUACCCAAAAAAGGUUUCCAAAUCUUUGUUCUCAAGCUUUAAGUGGUUAAGGAAAAGGGAAUUCUAUCCUAAAAGACCCCAACUCUAAAAAAAGCAAACAAAACCCCAAAAACACUCAUACUAUGACUUCGUAUCUUACAAAUGGCAGACACAAGUUUAAAUUUCAUACUCCCAAAACCAAAUUUUGCUAAAGAAAAAAAGACAGUCCACUACAAUUUAAUGGCUUGAGAAGCACCUUCACCCACUUUUCACAGAACCUUGCACACUAAAAGGUGUACCCAGGAUGAGCUUAUGUCUCUACUGCUUAAGCAACAAAGGGUGGCCAGCAGUGUGAAGCAUUCACAUAAGCAAAUCAAAGUUCCACACAGCUCAAGAACAUGAUCCAAUGCUCCACCUAGGUAAAAUCCUAUCCAAAGUAGGGGAGUAGAACCAAAGCAAAUCAUAACCUGUCUAGCAUCUAUCCUUACUAUGGAAUAAACAGAUAUUUACUCAAAAUACAACACUGUUUUAAAGACCUUGAGAAACCAUAGAAGAGAUGUCAUUUACAUGCCCCCUCAGUAUGAACCAUAAAGCGUAACAAUGAAAGGCAGUCAAGCAUAGGAAAACCUGUUAAUGGAUUUUGAUAACAGCAGAAAGGCACCCACUACAUUCCUUAUUAUUGCUGCAACAUAUUUCAAAGUUACUACUAAACAGGUCUAGGCUAAUACAAUCACACCAAACACCAGAAUUCAGCAUAUUACUUAUCCAAGCAUACAUUCUUCAGACAUAUCUUUUAUAUUAAAUCAAUGACCAUUACAGAGGAAAAUAUGCACAUCUGCUGUUCCAUCUUUCUUGUUCCAUCAGCAAGUGGAUUCACAAUGCAACCAAGUCCUAGUCCUUACCUUUCCUGGUUCCAUUCUCCAACAGAGGAAUUUCAAGGAUACAGAAUCUAUGACAUACUUUGAAGACAAAGGCAUUUUAAACUCUAAUUAACUCAUAAUUUGCCUUGAGCUGCUUUUUUUUGAGACGAAGUCUCACUCUUGUCCCCAGGCUGGAGUGUGAUGGCGCAGUCUUGGCUCACUGCAACCUCCGCCUCCCGGGUUCAAGCAAUUCUCCUGCCUCAGCCUCCUGAGUAGCUGAGAUUACAGGUGCCAACCACCACGCCCAGCUAAUUUUUGUAUUUUUAGUAGCAAUGGGGUUUCACCAUGUUAGCCAAGCUGGUCUCGAAUUCCUGACCUCAAGUGAUCUGCCCACCUCGGCCUCCCAAAGUGCUGGGAUUACAGGUAUGAGCCAUCGCGCUCGGCCUGCCUUGAGCUGUUUUUUUAAAUACUGGUAAGACUUUCACAUCUCAGAACACAUCAUUUUAUCAAAUUCCAAACCCAACCGCUCUUCAUCACCUCCACGACUACCACACUAACCCAGGCCCACAGCACAUCCCCUGCAGAGUCUGGCCACACUCCUCAUCAGUCUGCCUGCUUCCACUCUGACUGGCAGCAGUCUAACUUUCUUUUUU
RNAcentral lists this long non-coding RNA (4726 nucleotides) under Homo sapiens (human). Its description in RNAcentral is "HSALNT0001353". Lineage: Eukaryota; Metazoa; Chordata; Mammalia; Primates; Hominidae. The record is from RNAcentral.